This 739-nucleotide long non-coding RNA is filed under the name Medicago truncatula (barrel medic). RNAcentral describes it as "lncRNA gene49491". Lineage: Eukaryota; Viridiplantae; Streptophyta; Magnoliopsida; Fabales; Fabaceae. The record is from RNAcentral.
CCCAGUAAAAUGUAGCAUUCUAAUUACGCAAUGGUAAACACAGAUAUCAAUUAAAACAUGUCCUACAUAGGCCUCCUUAUAAAGUAAAUAAAAACACAUAAGUUUAGUACUGAAAAAACAACAUGGAGUUAGAAGCCAAAUCUGAACACAACAAUACAAAUAGGAGGCUUCACUAAGCUAAAAUCACUUCUUCCUUUUCUUUGGUGGCUGCAAAGCUUCCUCAUCUUCAUCCUCCUCUUCCUCUUCAUUGUCUUCUUCAUCAACACCUUCCUCCUCGUCCUCUUCUCCACCCUCUUCCUCAUCGUCAUCAUCCUCGUCCUCAUCGUCAUCCUCAUCUUGGUCAUCACCAUCUUCAUCAUCUUCCUCUUCUCCAUUUUCAUCUGCCCCACCAGCACCACCUUCAGGAGCUUUCUUCGAGUUGCUCUUAUUGUUGGAAUUGUUGCCAUAUCCACCUCCAUCUUCAGAUGACAAUUCAUCCUCCCCUUCUCCAAAUGCACCAUCUCCGUCAUCAUCUUCUUCGUCUUCAUCAUCGUUGCCAUCUUCUCCUUCAGCAUCAUGUUGCUUGUCUUGACUUUGGGUUUUACUAUCUCCUUUGGUUGUAGGCAUGUCGGUUAACAUUAACGCAUAGAGUUCCUACACCCAUUUUAUAAUGUUAUAAAAAAAACUUAUAUGCAUGUCAUAAAACAACUUAUAUACACAUUGAUGCAUUUAAGUGAAACAAACAAAGCGGAUAAUACAG